AUACGGAGGAUGCAAGCGUUAUCCGGAUUUAUUGGGUUUAAAGGGUGCGUAGGCGGUUUGCUAAGCGGGAGGUGAAAUGCCGGCGCUCAACGUCGGAAGUGCCUCCCGAACUGGUGGACUGGAAUGACUCUGCCGUGGGAGGAAUGUGUAGUGUAGUGGUGAAAUGCUUAGAGAUUACACAGAACACCGAUUGCGAAGGCAUCUCACGAAGGGUUGAUUGACGCUGAGGCACGAAAGCGUGGGGAUCAAACAGGAUUAGAUACCCUGGUAGUCCACGCAGUAAACGAUGAUGGCUAACCGCUGGGCUUAUCAGUUCAGUGGCCAAGCGAAAGCGAUAAGCCAUCCACCUGGGGAGUACGACCGCAAGGUUGAAACUCAAAUGAAUUGACGGGG
Molecule: ribosomal RNA, 393 nt
Filed under: uncultured bacterium
Lineage: Bacteria
Description: partial 16S ribosomal RNA
Rfam family: Bacterial small subunit ribosomal RNA
Source: RNAcentral